CGGCGGGACGGGGCCUCCCGCGGGCGGGCGGGAGCAUGGAGAGCCCGGCGGCGGCGGGCGCUGGCGGCGGGGCGGGCGCGCCGCCGAGGAGGAGAGCCGCAGCAAGCCCAAGGCGAUCGCUGGAAAAUUUAUAUUAAUUAUACUGUGAUCGCUGAUGACCCAAGCUCAUAUAUGAAGCAAAGGAUAGAAUUAAAAAUGUUAUAUGUGUUAAAAGAUGACUUCAUCUUAUCUGCAUCAGCUGCAGUUCUUCAGAGUGAUCCACAGAAUAAAGUGCUGGAGACAUGAGAUGGUAGUGGAGGAGGUCUUAGGCAUGCUGGAUGUGUGAUGCAUGUUUGCUGCUGGUAGCCUGUAUGCAGUUCAUCAAUGCCCUUGUUACAUCUCCAGAAGAUCUUGGUUUUGGGAUACGCUUGAGAAAUGAAUUUUUAAAUUGUAGGCUGAAAAAAAUAUUGGCUGACUUGAAAGAUAAUGAAGAGCUUGAUAUUCCGUUGAAAAUGUUUGAUGAAAACAAAGACGACGACUUAAUUGAGCUGUCACAUCGUCUCAGUGAUAUCAGAGCUGAAAUGG
This is a long non-coding RNA of Rhea pennata, 564 nucleotides long. RefSeq lists it as uncharacterized. Lineage: Eukaryota; Metazoa; Chordata; Aves; Rheiformes; Rheidae. The record is from RefSeq and is a predicted model, not a curated record. The transcript is spliced from 5 exons.